AUGUUGACCUGGCCCAAGAGGAUGUCCAUCGCCAUCGGAGUUGCCAAAGGGCUCUGCCACUUGCACCAUGGAUGCAACAGACCUGUUGUCCACCACAACAUCAACGCCAACAACAUCUUGCUUGAUCAGGAUCUCAAGGCGGUGAUUGCCAGCUUUGGCAUGGCGCAGAUUAACAUGGCCGGGCUCGGACAGCCGUUGCCAAUCACAGACCUGCCUCUUGGUAACUUUGGUUAUGCUGCUCUAGGUAUAUUGGUGGGUUUUUUCUUAGCUAGUUUGGUCUUCUAA
RNAcentral lists this ribosomal RNA (285 nucleotides) under Triticum aestivum (bread wheat). RNAcentral's name for it is "partial small subunit ribosomal RNA". Lineage: Eukaryota; Viridiplantae; Streptophyta; Magnoliopsida; Poales; Poaceae. The record is from RNAcentral.